RNAcentral lists this long non-coding RNA (1648 nucleotides) under Apteryx owenii (little spotted kiwi). RNAcentral describes it as "lncRNA (ENSAOWG00000018443.1)". The record is from RNAcentral. Lineage: Eukaryota; Metazoa; Chordata; Aves; Apterygiformes; Apterygidae.
CUGACUGCUUGUAUCUCUAUGUCUCUGGGAAUUUUUCACGGCAUAGGUCCAUAGUGCUCAGUUCAUGGAGUUUGCAGAGGUGGAAAACCAUGAUGACUUUUAUACCAGUGAAGGUGGAUAUAUUCACACACAGGACCCAUGAGGGUUUUAUAUAAUAUAUGAUGUGGCUUUAAAGGACCUGAAGGAGCUUGAGCACCAGCUGCUCCUUGUGACCAGCCAAUAUAUUGAGAAAGAUAAAAGCCAUAUAACUUGUGGUCAGUUCAAAGGCAGCAACCUCCUUGGCUGGGCACAUUCCUCUGUGGAUCAAUUUGCAGUGCUGCUUGACCUCUGGACCUGUGAAACUGCUCUCUUGGAGAAAAAAUCUCAGAUAGAUGUCCAGAGGGAAUAUGUCCACAAGGUUUGGCGGGAAGGUCAGAGAGGUGGGAUCAGUGAAUUUGGAAUUCCUUAUAAUGUGAUUGCUAAACAACUUAUCUCUCUUAAUAAUAGCUGUUAUUUGCAGAGGUACUGAUAGAAGACCCUGUGCUGGUGCAAGAGGUUGCUUUGUCACUAUGAGAGCUGGGAGCAGAGGAAGAAAAAAAGGAAAGCAGACAAAACCGGUUCUUUUUCCUGGAUUCUUUUUCCAUGAUCCUGGAGCUUGUAACACUUUGCCAUCGGUUGAUGGAGGUGGCAAUGGAGAGUGUGCAGUUAGCCAGGUUAGUGGAUUGGUAGUGCUGUUUUAGCUAUGGUGGCCUAAGAGAGGGGUGGUUUGUAGGAAAAAAGUGACUUCUUUUAAAUAGACCCUCUAAUAUAAUUGGAAAAAAACAGAUAAGAGAGCAUGCAUUUAUGUUGUGAGAGAUACAUUUGCUUGUUUUAUGGAAAUAGAGUCUACCCAGGAUUUGCAGAUGUUCGUUAUUUUCAAAAGUUGAGAAACAAAUCAAUUGCCAAACUGCUCUGCAAAGCUUAUCAGGACUGGCCCUUUGCCCAGUGAAAAUGGGACUCUCCUGAUCCUGCUCGAGUUUAGUCAAGAGGAGGAGGAGCAGGAGGAGCAGGAGGAAUUCACUGAUAAAAUGGACAUGAAGAUUUCUUCUUCCCAGAGUUUUACACAGACAAUUGUUUUAACUGCCUUCUUAUAAAUAAUAUUGCAAUAUAAAAAAAAAGGCACACAAGAAAUACAAUCCAUUGCCUUGUUCGCUACCACAGAUAGGAAAGUAUAAAAAUUGUUCUGACUGUGAUGAUCCUUGCAAAGAUAGUGAAAUAAUCUAGAUAAGGGAAGUCACUGCGGCGUUGCUUAGGAAAUUGUCACAUCAGGUGGGGAAGAGGACAAUUUGUACAGGAAGCCAAAGAAGAUGAAGGCUGGACUAAUGGGGAGCCUACAAAGGAUAGUGCUGACCUAGUGGCUUGGAGGCAGGUUACUGGUGAAGUUCCUCUUGUUCAGUUUCAUAUUAUUUGACAUUUUUAUUAAUGAGCUCAGUAGAAAGCAUGAGGGUGUUAUUAAAAUCAGGACAUUGUUGUGCUGGAAGAUAAAGCUGAUAUGGAAAAGAAACAGAAUAUUUUACAGGAAGAAUUCAUGGUUCUAAGCACUGGGAUAAUAGAAAUGAGAUAAGCUUCAGUAGCACAAAGCUCAAGGUUAUGCAAUAAAAAUAGGAAAUACUGCUGUGAACUUUGUGCU